AUCGCUUCUCGGUCUUUUGGCUAAGAUCAAGUGUAGUAUCUCUUUUCAUCAGUUUAAUAUCUGAUAUGUCCUCUAUCCAAGGACAUUAUAUUAAACUAGAGGCCUGAUGCACGAAAUUCGUGCAUGGGUAGGGUCCCUAGACCUGGCUGGCCACCAGAGUUACCACUAUGAUCAAGUCUGGUUGGCCAAGCCAUC
RNAcentral lists this small nuclear RNA (195 nucleotides) under Myotis brandtii (Brandt's bat). RNAcentral's name for it is "U2 spliceosomal RNA". It matches the Rfam family "U2 spliceosomal RNA". Rfam says of the family: U2 is a small nuclear RNA (snRNA) component of the spliceosome (involved in pre-mRNA splicing). Lineage: Eukaryota; Metazoa; Chordata; Mammalia; Chiroptera; Vespertilionidae. The record is from Rfam by way of RNAcentral.